GACGAACGCUGGCGGCGUGCUUAACACAUGCAAGUCGAACGGUAAGGCCCUGCUUUUGUGGGGUGCUCGAGUGGCGAACGGGUGAGUAACACGUGAUUAACCUGCCCUUGACUUUGGGAUAACUUCAGGAAACUGGGGCUAAUACCGGAUAGGAGCUCCUGUUGCAUGGUGGGGGUUGGAAAGUUUCGGCGGUUGGGGAUGGACUCGCGGCUUAUCAGUUUGUUGGUGGGGUAGUGGCUUACCAAGGCUUUGACGGGUAGCCGGCCUGAGAGGGUGACCGGCCACAUUGGGACUGAGAUACGGCCCAGACUCCUACGGGAGGCAGCAGUGGGGAAUAUUGCACAAUGGGCGGAAGCCUGAGGCAGCAACGCAGCGUGCGGGAUGACGGCGUUCGGGUUGUAAACCGCUUUCGCCUGUGACGAAGCGUGAGUGACGGUAAUGGGUAAAGAAGCACCGGCUAACUACGUG
Molecule: ribosomal RNA, 468 nt
Filed under: uncultured bacterium
Lineage: Bacteria
Description: partial 16S ribosomal RNA
Rfam family: Bacterial small subunit ribosomal RNA
Source: RNAcentral